AUUGAACGCUGUCGGCAGGCUUAACACAUGCAAGUCGAGCGGAGCGAGGGUGCUUGCACCUUAGCUUAGCGGCGGACGGGUGAGUAAUGCUUAGGAAUCUGCCUAUUAGUGGGGGACAACAUUCCGAAAGGAAUGCUAAUACCGCAUACGCCCUACGGGGGAAAGCAGGGGAUCUUCGGACCUUGCGCUAAUAGAUGAGCCUAAGUCAGAUUAGCUAGUUGGUGGGGUAAAGGCCUACCACGGCGACGAUCUGUAGCGGGUCUGAGAGGAUGAUCCGCCACACUGGGACUGAGACACGGCCCAGACUCCUACGGGAGGCAGCAGUGGGGAAUAUUGGACAAUGGGCGCAAGCCUGAUCCAGCCAUGCCGCGUGUGUGAAGAAGGCCUUUUGGUUGUAAAGCACUUUAAGCGAGGAGGAGGCUACUUGGAUUAAUACUCUAGGAUAGUGGACGUUACUCGCAGAAUAAGCACCGGCUAACUCUGUGCCAGCAGCCGCGGUAAUACAGAGGGUGCGAGCGUUAAUCGGAUUUACUGGGCGUAAAGCGUGCGUAGGCGGCUUUUUAAGUCGGAUGUGAAAUCCCUGAGCUUAACUUAGGAAUUGCAUUCGAUACUGGGAAGCUAGAGUAUGGGAGAGGAUGGUAGAAUUCCAGGUGUAGCGGUGAAAUGCGUAGAGAUCUGGAGGAAUACCGAUGGCGAAGGCAGCCAUCUGGCCUAAUACUGACGCUGAGGUACGAAAGCAUGGGGAGCAAACAGGAUUAGAUACCCUGGUAGUCCAUGCCGUAAACGAUGUCUACUAGCCGUUGGGGCCUUUGAGGCUUUAGUGGCGCAGCUAACGCGAUAAGUAGACCGCCUGGGGAGUACGGUCGCAAGACUAAAACUCAAAUGAAUUGACGGGGGCCCGCACAAGCGGUGGAGCAUGUGGUUUAAUUCGAUGCAACGCGAAGAACCUUACCUGGUCUUGACAUAGUAAGAACUUUCCAGAGAUGGAUUGGUGCCUUCGGGAACUUACAUACAGGUGCUGCAUAGCUGUCGUCAGCUCGUGUCGUGAGAUGUUGGGUUAAGUCCCGCAACGAGCGCAACCCUUUUCCUUAUUUGCCAGCGGGUUAAGCCGGGAACUUUAAGGAUACUGCCAGUGACAAACUGGAGGAAGGCGGGGACGACGUCAAGUCAUCAUGGCCCUUACGACCAGGGCUACACACGUGCUACAAUGGUCGGUACAAAGGGUUGCUACCUAGCGAUAGGAUGCUAAUCUCAAAAAGCCGAUCGUAGUCCGGAUUGGAGUCUGCAACUCGACUCCAUGAAGUCGGAAUCGCUAGUAAUCGCGGAUCAGAAUGCCGCGGUGAAUACGUUCCCGGGCCU
Molecule: ribosomal RNA, 1359 nt
Filed under: uncultured bacterium
Lineage: Bacteria
Description: bacterial SSU rRNA
Rfam family: Bacterial small subunit ribosomal RNA
Source: RNAcentral